Molecule: long non-coding RNA, 262 nt
Filed under: Mytilus galloprovincialis (Mediterranean mussel)
Lineage: Eukaryota; Metazoa; Mollusca; Bivalvia; Mytilida; Mytilidae
Source: RNAcentral
AAAACUGCAUUUUACCCCAUGUUCUAUUUUUAGCCAUGGCGGCCAUCUUGGUUUGAUGGCCGGGUCACCGGACACAUUUUUCAAACUACUAACCCAAAAGAUGAUUGUGGCCAAGUUUGGAUUAAUUUGGCCCAGUAGUUUCAGAGGAGAAGAUUUUUGUAAAAUAUUACUAAGAUUUACGAAAAAUGGUUAAAAAUUGACUAUAAAGGGCAAUAACUCCUGAAGGGGUCAACUGACCAUUUCAGUCAUGUUGACUUAUUUG